UUAUCAUUGAAAAAACCUAUGAGAAUAACGUUGGCUGCGAGUCAGUUCUCGCGAUAACACGUUUCUUCAAACCUUCCCAUGAACCUUUGCGAUUCCUCUUUCUAGCCGGCGCCUGAGAAUGGGUAUCUCCAGGGAUAACUGGCAUAAACGCCGCAAGACCGGUGGUAAACGCAAGCCCUACCACAAGAAAAGGAAGUAUGAACUUGGGCGCCCUCCUGCAAACACAAAGGCUGCACACGCAAGACCAGAAUUAUCGAUGUGGUCUACAAUGCCUCAAACAACGAGCUUGUCCGAACCAAGACCCUGGUGAAGAACUGCAUCGUCUUGGUCGACCGCCUUCCCUACAGGCAGUGGUAUGAGGCCCACUUUGCCACUCCGCUGGGACGCAAGAAGGGAGCAAAGCUGAUCAGCCCAUUCUUGGAAGAGCAGUUCCUGCAGGGAAAGCUCCUUGACACCUCCUCAACAAGAAAAGAUCAAAGAGGACCCAGAAGUACGAUGAGCGUAAAAAGACAGCCAAGAUCAGCCAGCUCUUGGAAGAGCAGUUCCAGCAGGGAAAGCUCCUUGCUUGCAUUGCAUCCAGACCGGGCCAGUGCGGCAGGACAGAAGGCUACAUCCUGGAAGGAAGAGCUUGAGUUCUACCUGAGGAACAUCAAGGCCAAGAAAGGCAAAUAGAUGUACAGCUGUUUGAUACUUCAAUGAAAUGCGAACGCCACAAACUGUCUACUGACACUUCUUUCUAACGGGAUGUGUUUAAAUCUUGGACAUAACAUGUCUUAACAUUUUAUAAAGUGCAUAAAUUCUAAUCUGUAUAUUUUAAAGUAUUAGUUGGUAAACCGUUAAUAUAGUGUAAAAAUAUAUUUAAAUAGCUGUUUGAUGUCAUUUAAACUUGUGUUAAACCAAUAAACUGAAGGUGCCCGUAUGUUUUACAAUAAAACCAAAGUAACUUUGUGGGGCAAAAGACUGACAAAUCUGUACUCUGCGCCAAUUAUUGAUAUCAAACCAGAAAUCCAGCUCCAUAUGCACUGAGACCUCAAUAAAAGCCAUUUAAAAACAA
Gasterosteus aculeatus aculeatus (three-spined stickleback) is the source of this 1054-nucleotide non-coding RNA. NCBI's taxonomy places the organism in Eukaryota, Metazoa, Chordata, Actinopteri, Perciformes, Gasterosteidae. The record is from RefSeq and is a predicted model, not a curated record.